GAACCCAAGCCAGACUCAGUGUGGGUAAGCCAGUGAUGCUUCACUGAAGCUUUGCAAACUUCAAAAAGGAAGAGAAACAAUUUAUCAGAUGCUGUGCUUCUUCAAGUUAUGAAACAGAGCUAUCAAGGAAAUCAAGUUUUUCUACGGGAACAAAGCAACCGAUCCUUUUCAGGAUUUCUAGCCCAGACCUUGUCAAAGUAAGAUGCUCUAAGAUUGAAAUCAUGCAUCAGUAGGAAUUGAAACUUCGUGACUUAUAAAAAGAUGCAAAGAGAAGCAAAAGAUCAAUGUACACUGAACAAAUCCAUGAUUUCAUUUGUUCCUUCUCAUUUAAUAUGCUGAUGAUAGAAAUCUUCAGAAAAGUAGGGAUUGCAGCAGCAAAAAACAACCCUUGUAUGCUAAUUUCAUGGAGUAAGAACUAUGUUUGUAAAUAUCAGAAUCAGCAUUUUAAAUUGCAAUUAUCCGAAUAAAUCAUCUGGAGAAGUAAUUUUCAGGAAGAUAUGUUUCGAUAGUAAAUAAUGAUUGUAGCUCUUAAAAGCAAAAGAGGGAAAAUAACAUCACUGUGCAAAAGAUGAUCUCACCGAGAUAAUUAAAGUUAUAAUGAAGAUAGAAUGAACUCAGAUGCUGCUAUUAAAGAAAAAGGACUUUAAAGAAGUUGAACAACUCUGCUUCAAAAAGAAAAAGUAACAUUAGAAACUCUUAUGCCUUGCCGCCCAAGGGACAGACCGAUGCAAAUCGACAAGCUGACACCAAAAGCCCACUUAGAACUGAGUAUGGUGAAAAUAGAGAUUCUUCAGAAAAGCAGAGAGUUGCAGCAGCAAAAAGCACCCCCUUGUAUGUUGGAAGUGAUCCUGAACAUGUCAUUAGUAAGCCACUCUUUACUGUACAAAAUUUAGAUACUAGAAUCAGCAAUUAGAAACAUUUUAUACUCUGCAGUUCUGCAACAAAUCAGGAGAAGGAAUUUUCAAGAGGAUAGUUAUUGACAUAGCUCUUAAAUGCAAAAGAGAGAAAAUAACAUCCUUUGCUAAAGAAAAUCUCAUUUAUUCUAUCAAAAUUCUGAUAAAGAUAGAAUGAACACUGCCAUUGAAGAAAAAGAACUUCAAAGAAUUUUAGCAACUCCCUUCAGAAAAAGUUGGAUGAUAACACAUGCAUAUCCUAAGCAUAACAUAAUACAAAAAUGAGAGUCAAAAAACAGAAACCUUUUCUUAUCUUUCUUUCUUCUUAGUAUUCUUCUUUAUCAUCUGCAGAACAGCAGAGAAAGUCGGUCAGGAGCUGAUGAAAAGAUCCAGAGGAGAGAAGUAACACUCAUGUCACUAGAUUUUCCAUGUAAAUCUUCACGGGAUUUCAAGAGACAAAUCCGAAGAGUGUUCCUGACAAUUUUAUGUAAAGAACGUCUACACAGGUGAAACUAUCAAAUACUGACAUGUGUUAUCUGCUAAUAUAUUUUCCAUAUCUUGCAAAACAACUAGAACAAAUAGUAUAAAAUCAAAAUGCCAAACUGCUCAAAUCCCUGCAAAGGAAGAUUUACACCAUCUUGGUAACAAGAAUGGCAUCAUUACGAUUAGAAAUAUAGAUAGACUUAUUUAACAAGUCAUUGACGUUGCUGUAAAACCUGCUAGAAGGAAAACCUGACUCCUCUCGGAGGAGGGAGAAGCCAAUGGAUUCAACGAACUCGAGGCAACACCAAGAGGAAGAGUCUUAAUGAAACAAAAAGAACCUCUCGAAGAAUAAGCUUUCUUGUCCUCGAAAUUAGAACAUAGCUUGACAUGGAAGCUGAACUCAGCUUGUCUAAAGGAUAGAUAAACUCAUUUCUUCUUCACCAUAACAACCAUUAAGCUAAGUAAUUAACAAGACUAUCUCGGACAGAUUUAUAAGAUGCUUUAUGCACUGAACUGCAGCUCAAGGGACUAUCUGUUCUCGUGGGAAAGAACAAGUGAAGAACACACCAACAGAAUUUGGAAAAGCCAAGGGGGAAAAAGUGAGAUCUUGGACAUGCACGACGAGCAAAAGAGAGAAAAAGAUUCGGCAAUGUCUGUCCUUAAAUUCUUGAACUAAAGCUCUUUGUUUCUUGAUGCAACCAAAGGUUUGAUUCCCUCAAAAUGACCUCAGAAU
Molecule: long non-coding RNA, 2109 nt
Filed under: Musa acuminata (dwarf banana)
Lineage: Eukaryota; Viridiplantae; Streptophyta; Magnoliopsida; Zingiberales; Musaceae
Description: long non-coding RNA (MACU_LNC003759)
Source: RNAcentral